RNAcentral lists this ribosomal RNA (510 nucleotides) under uncultured bacterium. RNAcentral describes it as "partial 16S ribosomal RNA". It matches the Rfam family "Bacterial small subunit ribosomal RNA", at positions 28 to 507 of the family's 1533-position model. The record is from RNAcentral.
GACGAACGCUGGCGGCGUGCUUAACACAUGCAAGUCGAACGAAGAGCGAUGGAAGCUUGCUUCUAUCAAUCUUAGUGGCGAACGGGUGAGUAACGCGUAAUCAACCUGCCCUUCAGAGGGGGACAACAGUUGGAAACGACUGCUAAUACCGCAUACGAUCUAACCUCGGCAUCGAGGAAAGAUGAAAGGUGGCCUCUAUGUAUAAGCUAUCACUGAAGGAGGGGAUUGCGUCUGAUUAGCUAGUUGGAGGGGUAACGGCCCACCAAGGCGAUGAUCAGUAGCCGGUCUGAGAGGAUGAACGGCAACAUUGGGACUGAGACACGGCCCAGACUCCUACGGGAGGCAGCAGUGGGGAAUCUUCCGCAAUGGACGAAAGUCUGAAGGAGCAACGCCGCGUGAGUGAUGACGGCCUUCGGGUUGUAAAGCUCUGUUAAUCGGGACGAAAGGCCUUCUUGCGAAUAGUGAGAAGGAUUGACGGUACCGGAAUAGAAAGCCACGGCUAACUACGUG